RNAcentral lists this ribosomal RNA (527 nucleotides) under uncultured bacterium. RNAcentral's name for it is "bacterial SSU rRNA". It matches the Rfam family "Bacterial small subunit ribosomal RNA", at positions 984 to 1509 of the family's 1533-position model. The record is from RNAcentral.
ACAUCCAGCGAACUUGGCAGAGAUGGCCUUGGGUGCCUUCGGGAACGCUGAGACAGGUGCUGCAUGGCUGUCGUCAGCUCGUGUUGUGAAAUGUUGGGUUAAGUCCCGNAACGAGCGCAACCCUUAUCCUUUGUUGCCAGCGAUUCGGUCGGGAACUCAAAGGAGACUGCCGGUGAUAAACCGGAGGAAGGUGGGGAUGACGUCAAGUCAUCAUGGCCCUUACGAGUAGGGCUACACACGUGCUACAAUGGCGCAUACAAAGAGAAGCGACCUCGCGAGAGCAAGCGGACCUCAUAAAGUGCGUCGUAGUCCGGAUCGGAGUCUGCAACUCGACUCCGUGAAGUCGGAAUCGCUAGUAAUCGUGGAUCAGAAUGCCACGGUGAAUACGUUCCCGGGCCUUGUACACACCGCCCGUCACACCAUGGGAGUGGGUUGCAAAAGAAGUAGGUAGCUUAACCUCCGGGAGGGCGCUUACCACUUUGUGAUUCAUGACUGGGGUGAAGUCGUAACAAGGUAAGCGUAGCGAG